RNAcentral lists this ribosomal RNA (465 nucleotides) under uncultured Klebsiella sp. RNAcentral's name for it is "bacterial SSU rRNA". It matches the Rfam family "Bacterial small subunit ribosomal RNA", at positions 338 to 795 of the family's 1533-position model. The record is from RNAcentral. Lineage: Bacteria; Pseudomonadati; Pseudomonadota; Gammaproteobacteria; Enterobacterales; Enterobacteriaceae.
CCUACGGGUGGCAGCAGUGGGGAAUAUUGCACAAUGGGCGCAAGCCUGAUGCAGCCAUGCCGCGUGUGUGAAGAAGGCCUUCGGGUUGUAAAGCACUUUCAGCGGGGAGGAAGGCGGUGAGGUUAAUAACCUCAUCGAUUGACGUUACCCGCAGAAGAAGCACCGGCUAACUCCGUGCCAGCAGCCGCGGUAAUACGGAGGGUGCAAGCGUUAAUCGGAAUUACUGGGCGUAAAGCGCACGCAGGCGGUCUGUCAAGUCGGAUGUGAAAUCCCCGGGCUCAACCUGGGAACUGCAUUCGAAACUGGCAGGCUAGAGUCUUGUAGAGGGGGGUAGAAUUCCAGGUGUAGCGGUGAAAUGCGUAGAGAUCUGGAGGAAUACCGGUGGCGAAGGCGGCCCCCUGGACAAAGACUGACGCUCAGGUGCGAAAGCGUGGGGAGCAAACAGGAUGAGAUACCCGUGUAGUC